CAGAACACAGAAAGUUACAGCCAAGACAAGAGCUAACAAUAUGCUGAGUCUUAGCCUGCUGGGAGCAAUCGUCAGCUUCAUUUGUUUGGCAACCAGCACGGCCCAGAAGGUAACUCAGGCUCAGACUUCAAUUUCUGUGAUGGAGGAGAAGACUGUGACAUUGGAUUGUGUGUAUGAAACUCGGGAAAGUACUUACUACUUGUUCUGGUACAAGCAAACAACAAAUGGGGGAAUGGUUUUCCUUAUUCGGCAGGAGUCUUACAAUGAAAAUGCAACAGAGGGUCGUUAUUCUCUGAACUUCCAGCGUUCACAAAGUUCCAUUGGACUCAUCAUCACUGCCACACAGAUCGAGGACUCAGCAGUGUAUUUCUGUGCUAUGAGAGAGGGCACAGUGGCAGAGGAGUCUACAGGAGCCCCAUAA
Non-coding RNA from Alexandromys fortis (reed vole), 421 nucleotides. The record is from the annotation of a RefSeq genome assembly. NCBI's taxonomy places the organism in Eukaryota, Metazoa, Chordata, Mammalia, Rodentia, Cricetidae.